UACAGGGGGGGCAAGCGUUGUUCGGAAUUACUGGGCGUAAAGGGCUCGUAGGCGGCCAACUAAGUCACACGUGAAAUCCCCAGGCUUAACCUGGGAACUGCGUGUGAUACUGGAUGGCUUGAAUUCGGGAGAGGGAUGCAGAAUUCCAGGUGUAGCGGUGAAAUGCGUAGAUACAAUCAAGAACACCGAUUGCGUAGGCAGCUUACUAGGCUGUAACUGACGCUGAGGCACGAAAGCGUGGGGAGCGAACAGG
This 253-nucleotide ribosomal RNA is filed under the name uncultured bacterium. Its description in RNAcentral is "partial 16S ribosomal RNA". It matches the Rfam family "Bacterial small subunit ribosomal RNA", at positions 524 to 776 of the family's 1533-position model. The record is from RNAcentral.